RNAcentral lists this ribosomal RNA (891 nucleotides) under Sordariomycetes sp. genotype 71. RNAcentral describes it as "eukaryotic LSU rRNA". The stretch from base 382 to 891 matches the Rfam family "Eukaryotic large subunit ribosomal RNA", at positions 1 to 523 of the family's 3401-position model. The record is from RNAcentral. Lineage: Eukaryota; Fungi; Ascomycota; Sordariomycetes.
UGCCCGCCGGAGUGCCGAAACCAAACUCUUGAUAUUUUAUGUCUCUCUGAGUAAACUUUUAAAUAAGUCAAAACUUUCAACAACGGAUCUCUUGGUUCUGGCAUCGAUGAAGAACGCAGCGAAAUGCGAUAAGUAAUGUGAAUUGCAGAAUUCAGUGAAUCAUCGAAUCUUUGAACGCACAUUGCGCUCGCCAGUAUUCUGGCGAGCAUGCCUGUUCGAGCGUCAUUUCAACCAUCAAGCUCUGCUUGCGUUGGGGAUCCGCGGCUGCCCGCGGUCCCUCAAAAACAGUGGCGGGCUCGCUAGUCACACCGAGCGUAGUAACUCUACAUCGCUAUGGUCGUGCGGCGGGUUCUUGCCGUAAAACCCCCCAAUUUCUAAGGUUGACCUCGGAUCAGGUAGGAAUACCCGCUGAACUUAAGCAUAUCAAUAAGCGGAGGAAAAGAAACCAACAGGGAUUGCCCUAGUAACGGCGAGUGAAGCGGCAACAGCUCAAAUUUGAAAUCUGGCUUCGGCCCGAGUUGUAAUUUGUAGAGGAAGCUUUUGGUGAGGCACCUUCUGAGUCCCCUGGAACGGGGCGCCAUAGAGGGUGAGAGCCCCGUAUAGUCGGAUGCCGAUCCAAUGUAAAGCUCCUUCGACGAGUCGAGUAGUUUGGGAAUGCUGCUCAAAAUGGGAGGUAAAUUUCUUCUAAAGCUAAAUACCGGCCAGAGACCGAUAGCGCACAAGUAGAGUGAUCGAAAGAUGAAAAGCACUUUGAAAAGAGGGUUAAAUAGCACGUGAAAUUGUUGAAAGGGAAGCGUUUGUGACCAGACUUGCGCCGUUCCGAUCAUCCGGUGUUCUCACCGGUGCACUCGGGACGGCUCAGGCCAGCAUCGGUUUUGGCGGGGGGACAAA